Long non-coding RNA from Panonychus citri (citrus red mite), 1268 nucleotides. RefSeq lists it as uncharacterized. The record is from RefSeq and is a predicted model, not a curated record. NCBI's taxonomy places the organism in Eukaryota, Metazoa, Arthropoda, Arachnida, Trombidiformes, Tetranychidae. The transcript has 2 exons.
UAAUAAAAGAAUUUUUUUCUUCAUUAUUUUCACCAUGAAGAAUUAACUAGCUGAGUAAACAUUGACAACAAUUAAGCAGUUAAUUAAUGGAGAAGGUGAAAAUCGUUGAAACUAAUUAGAUGACGAAGAAUCUUUUCUCUUCCAUCAUCAUCAUCAUCAUCAUUAUCAUCAUCUCACCUCUCUCUCUCUCUCUCUCUCUCUCUCUCUCUCUCUCUCUCAUCUCAGCCCGAAACGGAUGUUUAAAUCUAUUCAAUUAUUAACCAUCAACGACAUCGAAUUGAAUUUCGUUGCAACGUUUCAACGUUUUUCUUUAUGAGUGUUGAUUGUGUGAGUGUUUAUGUUUUUUUUACUGUGAAUUAAUUUCUUUUACCUUCAAUCUACAAUCAACUAUAAAGUUAAUUAUAAUUUGAUUCGCUUCAUGUUCAACUGUUAACUGUGCUUGGGAUAAUCACAUUACCGUUAAUUUGGUUGAUAAUUAUUAACUUACAUCUUCAUCUUUAAUUCAGUUUACAUGUUGUAACAUUGGAAGAGCCAUUGGUCAGUUUGUCUGUUUACUUUAGUUUUGUGAUCAAUUGGCUUGAUUGUUUGGAGAAAUCAAACCUUAAUUUAGUUAUUAAUCAACUUUGGGACUUUGAUUUAGCUCUUAAUUAAUCAUGGGACGUGGUGAAAGCUCACAAAUCCCUCGGAAAUCAGACAUUUCCGAUUCCUUUGAAAUUGAAUCCAAUAGUGAUCGACCUGGACUCGGACGGAUGAGUUGGUUGGCCACUAAUUUGGCCAUUGGUGUAAUUGUAUUUUGUGUGAUUGCCUUAAUUGCUUAUGCAACAAUCAAAUUAUACGGAGAUGCUUAAAUCAAGUGUUUCUUAAUUGUUUGUUUUCUGCUCUCUGUCCAUUUCUUUGGUCCACUUUAAUUUCAUCAUUACAUUUUUUUUUUGAUUAUUUCCUCAUUCAAAUUAAAUCCAGAUAAAAGUUUACAACUUUCCAAUAGUCAUAAUCAUCUUCACAACAAUUAAAAGUUAAGUUAAUUGAAUAACAAAGUUCUGGUCUCAUCUAAUGAUUACACCGCUGCCACACCCUGAGAGCCUCAAUCAACUUUAAUCAACAAUAUUGUCAACAAUUAACUUCAUUCAUUUGAUUGUUCUGUCAAUUUUUGCUUUUUUUUCUAUCAACAACAAUUAAAAGUUAUUACUAAUUGUUUCCAUUUUUCAUCUCUUUGUAACCUAGGCAAUUAAAGCCAAUUAUCAAUGUGUUCAAUAAAUUACUAGGCUAAA